RNAcentral lists this ribosomal RNA (468 nucleotides) under uncultured bacterium. RNAcentral's name for it is "partial 16S ribosomal RNA". It matches the Rfam family "Bacterial small subunit ribosomal RNA", at positions 28 to 507 of the family's 1533-position model. The record is from RNAcentral.
GACGAACGCUGGCGGCGUGCUUAACACAUGCAAGUCGAACGGAAAGGCCCUGCUUUUGUGGGGUGCUCGAGUGGCGAACGGGUGAGUAACACGUGAGUAACCUGCCCUGGACUUUGGGAUAACUUCAGGAAACUGGGGCUAAUACCGGAUAGGAGCUCCUGCUGCAUGGUGGGGGUUGGAAAGUUUCGGCGGUUGGGGAUGGACUCGCGGCUUAUCAGCUUGUUGGUGGGGUAGUGGCUUACCAAGGCUUUGACGGGUAGCCGGCCUGGGAGGGUGACCGGCCACAUUGGGACUGAGAUACGGCCCAGACUCCUACGGGAGGCAGCAGUGGGGAAUAUUGCACAAUGGGCGGAAGCCUGAUGCAGCAACGCCGCGUGCGGGAUGACGGCCUUCGGGUUGUAAACCGCUUUCGCCUGUGACGAAGCGUGAGUGACGGUAAUGGGUAAAGAAGCACCGGCUAACUACGUG